This 433-nucleotide ribosomal RNA is filed under the name uncultured bacterium. Its description in RNAcentral is "partial 16S ribosomal RNA". It matches the Rfam family "Bacterial small subunit ribosomal RNA", at positions 29 to 507 of the family's 1533-position model. The record is from RNAcentral.
AACGAACGCUGGCGGCAUGCCUAACACAUGCCAGUCGAACGAGACCUUCGGGUCUAGUGGCGCACGGGUGCGUAACGCGUGGGAACCUGCCCUUAGGUUCGGAAUAACUCCCCGAAAGGGGUGCUAAUACCGGAUAAUGUCUUCGGACCAAAGAUUUAUCGCCUUUGGAGGGGCCCGCGUUGGAUUAGCUAGUUGGUAGGGUAAAAGCCUACCAAGGCGACGAUCCAUAGCUGGUCUGAGAGGAUGAUCAGCCACACUGGGACUAAGACACGGCCCAGACUCCUACGGGAGGCAGCAGUGGGGAAUAUUGGACAAUGGGCGAAAGCCUGAUGCAGCAAUGCCGCGUGAGUGAUGAAGGCCUUAGGGUUGUAAAGCUCUUUUACCCGGGAUGAUAAUGACAGUACCGGGAGAAUAAGCUCCGGCUAACUCCGUG